ACGUGAGGAAUGGGCAGGUAGGUUAGUACUCACCUGUCUUGGGGCUGAACCAGGGAGUCUCUGACGUGAGGAAUGGGCAGGUAGUAGGUUAGUACUCACCUGUCCUGGGGUUGAACCAGGGAGUCUCUGACGUGAGGGAUGGGCAGGUAGGAGGUUAGUACUCACCUGUCCUGGGGUUGAACCAGGGAGUCUCUGACGUGAGGGAUGGGCAGGUAGGAGGUUAGUACUCACCUGUCCUGGGGUUGGACCAGGGAGUCUCUGACGUGAGGGAUGGGCAGGUAGGGCUGGAGGUCAUUGUUUUCCUGACACGAUGCGUUGUGGAUCCUCAGAACACCGAUGAUUCUCUCCACCAUGUCAUACAUCUGCCUGGUCUCCUCUUCCUCUCUCCUCCAACGAUACUUCAUAUAGUAGAAUACACCCCACACCAG
Long non-coding RNA from Oncorhynchus keta (chum salmon), 428 nucleotides. RefSeq lists it as uncharacterized. NCBI's taxonomy places the organism in Eukaryota, Metazoa, Chordata, Actinopteri, Salmoniformes, Salmonidae. The transcript is spliced from 3 exons. The record is from RefSeq and is a predicted model, not a curated record.